GGUGAGAAGUGAAGAUGAUGAUUCAUUUACUGUGUAAAGACAAAAUCAUGGUUCCCUUUUUACGCGCAAACAAGGGUCUUUUUGUCAAACAUCACCAUAAUAUAUAACGUAUCAUAGCCACAAAGAAGUAAUGGUUAUAAACUUAAUUUUCUUUGUGCUAUGGACAUGUCACCUAAUUUCCCAACAAUAUUUAGUGUAGUUGUAACGAAAUCGAGAUUCCGCAUGAUGUUAUUUUUUAUCAAAUGGGUCUUAUGACACAUUAUAUAGAUCAACAUAUGGGCUUACAAGAUUCCACAUUUACGUUUGGGUUGUUUCAAACCUGGGCGUUCGGCUUUCAGUUCGGAUCCGGUUUGGUUAUUUCAGUUUUUGUUUUUUUUUUUUAUUCUGGAGAUAUAAGAACCGUUAGAUUAUUUAUGAAAUUUAGUUCGGUCUCGCUUUCAUUAUUUUGGUUUUCAGUUUAGUUCGGGUAACAAUUAUAAGAAUCGGCUAAUAUUUGAUAAACUUUUAGUUCUAAUUCGGUUACGGUUCAGUUCCGGAUAUUUGGUUAAUUUGGAUAAUUCGGAUGAAAAGAACAAAAUUUUUGGUUUUUCAGACCAAAAAUUGGGCAAUUCAGAUAAAUUUUAAUAGUUUAAUUGACAAUUAUUCAAGUGAUUCAGUUCUUAAGAGUAAUUUGAAUAAUUUUAAAUAUUUUAGAUAAAAAAAUAUAUUUGGUAAUCUAGAUUUUUCGGGUUGUUUGGUGUAUAAAUAAUGUUUUCAGAAUACUUGGUAAUGCUAAAGUUAAAUAUAACUAAUAAGUUUAGGAAUAUAAAAUGUAUUUCGGAUAUUUGGGUAUCUAUUCGGUUUGGUUUUGAUUUUUCAAUUCUAAAAAUUUUAGAAACCGUUCGGUUAGUUGUGAAUUUCGGUUUGAUUUUGGAUUUAAGGUUUUAGAUACGGUUUUUGGUUCUCGGUUUAUAUACCGAGACCUAUUUCAAAGUUUCGUUAUGCUAAAUGAAACUUUACAUAAUUCAGAUCUUGUACUCGACAGUCGACACAUAAAAUAAUGUUAGCGUGGACGUGGAUAACGUAUUAAAUCAUAGCUCGGCGUUUUCUUUCACUUUGCUUCGGAAUUUAAUCUAGAAGAAAACACUCGGCUCGAAUUCUAACUUUUUCUUGCGUGUCCAAGCCAGCCUGACGUUUAGUCAUUUUUUCACUAUCUUUAAGAUUAAUCAUUACGCAGUUCUUUAUGUUCAAAAAGCGAUCACCAGCCUUGUUUCUUUCCUCUUUUAAUUCUUCCCCACCUCUCAGCUCACAAGAAUAAACAAUACACCUCUAUUUUCCCGUCUCCGAGCUCUCUCUUUAUACAGCUUAUAGAUAAAUAACAGUAUCUUACAUAAAACAAUUAAGAUUACAAUCUUAGAAAAAGGCAACAGAACGUAGGGCCAAAGUGAGGUAGAUAGAUGAGAUUAGAAUCAAACGUACGAAAGUUUACGAAAAGAUUUAAACCCUUAGCUGUCUUCCCUAUAGAAACUCCUUCAUUUAUAUUCCAAACCCUUGUACGUAAGCAACUCAUCCAUUUGUUGACCAAUAUAUUGCAUGAAUAGUCACACUAAUUAAAAAGUGCUAGGAACAAAUAAUAAUCUCAAAAGUCAAAACAGUAUCAAAGCUGAAUUAAGUUAUAUUUUAUGUCAGUCAGUCAUAGUAAUUGUAGCGUUGUAGGUCAGUACUGGUCGAAUCAGUUUUAUGUACUUGUAUGUAUAGUUGUUGUUGUAUAGUGAAAAUGCAAAAUAAAUGUGUCAUCUUUUCAUUUUGUUCUCGUAUAAUUGGCUGAUUUGUUGGUUACUUUCUUGAACCAAAUUAUGAACUAAAAAUUUUAAAAUAUUAUUAUUUCCUUCAAGGAAAAAUAAGCAUCGUGUGACUGGUAAGAUUGUUCAUCUAAAACCACAGCUUUAACUGAGCUUUUAUCCGGAUUGUGGUCAAAUCAAUCGUACCGGAAAUGAGACAAUACUAUAUUCAGUGUAGUAUGGACAGAUCGUUAAAAACCAUAGACCUCCACGUUCAAAGGAAUUCAGUGUAUGUAAUAAGAGUUAUUGAACCAUAGCAAAUAGAGUUAUUGCUCCUCCUGAGCAUCUGAAAGAGCUACUUUAAUGUUUUUAUCCAUCACAAAUUGAAGUAAUUGUUGGUUCUUUUCCGUUCAGUAUGUUUGAACUCUAUUUGAUACAAACGCUCGGGCAACCCUAACUCCUUCAGUAUGUUAUUGGGAUUAUGCAAAAGAACAAUUGCAACACAACUACUUUACAAUAAUCUACCAACAUGGUUUAGCGCAUACACCAUACAAUUCCAAGUAUAUAUUUGCAGGCACAAUACAGUUCUUUGACUAUACUACAAACAUUCCACACAUAGUAUAGCCUGAGCUUUCAAAACCAUCAAACCCACUCAAGCUUACACCUACAUCUUCUAACUAACAUCUGUUAACUGUGCAUGCAUACAUCUAUAUGCAUGACAACAAAAUUAUAUAUGCUAAAAAUAUCAGGAAAAUACAACUUCACAUUCACCAACAAACAUGGUAUACAUCGAUCUUGCAAAAGGGUGAGAAGUGAAGAUGAUGAUUCAUUUACUGUGUAAAGACAAAAUCAUGGUUCCCUUUUUACGCGCAAACAAGGGUCUUUUUGUCAAACAUCACCAUAAUAUAUAACGUAUCAUAGCCACAAAGAAGUAAUGGUUAUAAACUUAAUUUUCUUUGUGCUAUGGACAUGUCACCUAAUUUCCCAACAAUAUUUAGUGUAGUUGUAACGAAAUCGAGAUUCCGCAUGAUGUUAUUUUUUAUCAAAUGGGUCUUAUGACACAUUAUAUAGAUCAACAUAUGGGCUUACAAGAUUCCACAUUUACGUUUGGGUUGUUUCAAACCUGGGCGUUCGGCUUUCAGUUCGGAUCCGGUUUGGUUAUUUCAGUUUUUGUUUUUUUUUUUUAUUCUGGAGAUAUAAGAACCGUUAGAUUAUUUAUGAAAUUUAGUUCGGUCUCGCUUUCAUUAUUUUGGUUUUCAGUUUAGUUCGGGUAACAAUUAUAAGAAUCGGCUAAUAUUUGAUAAACUUUUAGUUCUAAUUCGGUUACGGUUCAGUUCCGGAUAUUUGGUUAAUUUGGAUAAUUCGGAUGAAAAGAACAAAAUUUUUGGUUUUUCAGACCAAAAAUUGGGCAAUUCAGAUAAAUUUUAAUAGUUUAAUUGACAAUUAUUCAAGUGAUUCAGUUCUUAAGAGUAAUUUGAAUAAUUUUAAAUAUUUUAGAUAAAAAAUAUAUUUGGUAAUCUAGAUUUUUCGGGUUGUUUGGUGUAUAAAUAAUGUUUUCAGAAUACUUGGUAAUGCUAAAGUUAAAUAUAACUAAUAAGUUUAGGAAUAUAAAAUGUAUUUCGGAUAUUUGGGUAUCUAUUCGGUUUGGUUUUGAUUUUUCAAUUCUAAAAAUUUUAGAAACCGUUCGGUUAGUUGUGAAUUUCGGUUUGAUUUUGGAUUUAAGUUUUUAGAUACGGUUUUUGGUUCUCGGUUUAUAUACCGAGACCUAUUUCAAAGUUUCGUUAUGCUAAAUGAAACUUUACAUAAUUCAGAUCUUGUACUCGACAGUCGACACAUAAAAUAAUGUUAGCGUGGACGUGGAUAACGUAUUAAAUCAUAGCUCGGCGUUUUCUUUCACUUUGCUUCGGAAUUUAAUCUAGAAGAAAACACUCGGCUCGAAUUCUAACUUUUUCUUGCGUGUCCAAGCCAGCCUGACGUUUAGUCAUUUUUUCACUAUCAUAUAGAAAAACGUUAGGAAUGAUUUGGUUGCUGAUACUUGCCUUGCCUGAUCACCCUGCUUGAAACUUGAAUCCAUCUUUAAGAUUAAUCAUUACGCAGUUCUUUAUGUUCAAAAAGCGAUCACCAGCCUUGUUUCUUUCCUCUUUUAAUUCUUCCCCACCUCUCAGCUCACAAGAAUAAACAAUACACCUCUAUUUUCCCGUCUCCGAGCUCUCUCUUUAUACAGCUUAUAGAUAAAUAACAGUA
RNAcentral lists this long non-coding RNA (4004 nucleotides) under Brassica rapa (field mustard). RNAcentral's name for it is "long non-coding RNA (BRAP_LNC004117)". The record is from RNAcentral. Lineage: Eukaryota; Viridiplantae; Streptophyta; Magnoliopsida; Brassicales; Brassicaceae.